CUGAUCCAGCCAUGCCGCGUGUGUGAAGAAGGCCUUAUGGUUGUAAAGCACUUUAAGCGAGGAGGAGGCUACUCUAGUUAAUACCUAGAGAUAGUGGACGUUACUCGCAGAAUAAGCACCGGCUAACUCUGUGCCAGCAGCCGCGGUAAUACAGAGGGUGCGAGCGUUAAUCGGAUUUACUGGGCGUAAAGCGUGCGUAGGCGGCUGAUUAAGUCGGAUGUGAAAUCCCUGAGCUUAACUUAGGAAUUGCAUUCGAUACUGGUCAGCUAGAGUAUGGGAGAGGAUGGUAGAAUUCCAGGUGUAGCGGUGAAAUGCGUAGAGAUCUGGAGGAAUACCGAUGGCGAAGGCAGCCAUCUGGCCUAAUACUGACGCUGAGGUACGAAAGCAUGGGGAGCAAACAGGAUUAGAUACCCUGGUAGUCCAUGCCGUAAACGAUGUCUACUAGCCGUUGGGGCCUUUGAGGCUUUAGUGGCGCAGCUAACGCGAUAAGUAGACCGCCUGGGGAGUACGGUCGCAAGACUAAAACUCAAAUGAAUUGACGGGGGCCCGCACAAGCGGUGGAGCAUGUGGUUUAAUUCGAUGCAACGCGAAGAACCUUACCUGGCCUUGACAUANUAANAACUUUCCAGANAUGGGAUUGGUGCCUUCGGGNAACUUACAUACAGGUGCUGCAUGGCUGUCGUCNGCUCGUGUCGUGAAAUGUUGGGUUAA
Molecule: ribosomal RNA, 711 nt
Filed under: Acinetobacter sp. Cr-B2
Lineage: Bacteria; Pseudomonadati; Pseudomonadota; Gammaproteobacteria; Moraxellales; Moraxellaceae
Description: bacterial SSU rRNA
Rfam family: Bacterial small subunit ribosomal RNA
Source: RNAcentral